RNAcentral lists this ribosomal RNA (476 nucleotides) under Bacillus sp. enrichment culture clone A3l. RNAcentral's name for it is "bacterial SSU rRNA". It matches the Rfam family "Bacterial small subunit ribosomal RNA", at positions 80 to 542 of the family's 1533-position model. Lineage: Bacteria; Bacillati; Bacillota; Bacilli; Caryophanales; Bacillaceae. The record is from RNAcentral.
UUGCUCCCUGAUGUUACGGCGGACGGGUGAGUACACGUGGGUACCUGCCUGUAAGACUGGGAUAACUCCGGGAAACCGGGGCUAAUACCGGAUGGUUGUUUGAACCGCAUGGUUCAAACAUAAAAGGUGGCUUCGGCUACCACUUACAGAUGGACCCGCGGCGCAUUAGCUAGUUGGUGAGGUAACGGCUCACCAAGGCAACGAUGCGUAGCCGACCUGAGAGGGUGAUCGGCCACACUGGGACUGAGACACGGCCCAGACUCCUACGGGAGGCAGCAGUAGGGAAUCUUCCGCAAUGGACGAAAGUCUGACGGAGCAACGCCGCGUGAGUGAUGAAGGUUUUCGGAUCGUAAAGCUCUGUUGUUAGGGAAGAACAAGUACCGUUCGAAUAGGGCGGUACCUUGACGGUACCUAACCAGAAAGCCACGGCUAACUACGUGCCAGCAGCCGCGGUAAUACGUAAGUGGCAAGCGUUU